This is a long non-coding RNA of Papilio machaon (common yellow swallowtail), 404 nucleotides long. RefSeq lists it as uncharacterized. The transcript is spliced from 3 exons. Lineage: Eukaryota; Metazoa; Arthropoda; Insecta; Lepidoptera; Papilionidae. The record is from RefSeq and is a predicted model, not a curated record.
CUGUCACAGUCACAGUGUAUCUGCAAUUGCGGGUCGCAGCCAUUUGUUUAUUUUAUGUGCAGGAAAAACAAAAGUAAUAAUGGGUGUUUUAUUGAAUGAAAUAAUGUAUGGAUUACUACAGAUGCAGUUACAACCAAAACGUAAGAGGAGAUCGCAGUGUGGAAGUUGGAGAGCGUGGGCGAAUCGUCGCGUUGAGCAGCUGCACACAUCCAGCUUGCAGGGCGGCCGGACUUCGACUGGCUAGUGGCUACAGAGACUGGAGUGAAGCCUGUUGCUAUUCGUAGCCAACCGCUAGGGGGAGGAGUCGGGGAAGCUUCGAGACAAGUUACAGGUCUCUCGGAGCUGUUUGCGCUAUGUGACUGUGAGAAAUAUUUCUAGACAUGAACCCCUCAUAUAAGAUCUUU